This is a non-coding RNA of Vicia faba (fava bean), 204 nucleotides long. NCBI's taxonomy places the organism in Eukaryota, Viridiplantae, Streptophyta, Magnoliopsida, Fabales, Fabaceae. The record is from the annotation of a GenBank genome assembly.
AUGAUAACAGAAUUGAGAAGGAGAGGAUUCAUGAUCGAGAAGAUAACAGAAAAUUUCAAAGAAUCACCUUUCAACUCUCUCUUUGCAAUUCCUUACCAUUCUUCCUCAACCUUGAAUCACCGAAUCUCUUCUCCUCUUAGACUCCUUCCGCACCUUCUUUCAAUCUUCAUCCUCAACAUCACCUUCAUCUUCGAGUUCCUCUAG